ACACGACUACAUUAGAUACCCGCGUAGUCCUAGCCGUAAACGAUACUCGCUAGGCGUCGGCCACGGUGCGACCGUUGUCGGUGCCGUAGGGAAGCCGUGAAGCGAGCCACCUGGGAAGUACGGCCGCAAGGCUGAAACUUAAAGGAAUUGGCGGGGGAGCACAACAACGGGUGGAGCUUGCGGUUUAAUUGGAUUCAACGCCGGAAAUCUUACCGGGACCGACAGCAACAUGAAGGCCAAGCUGAAGACUUUGCCGGAUUAGCUG
Molecule: ribosomal RNA, 265 nt
Filed under: uncultured archaeon
Lineage: Archaea
Description: partial 16S ribosomal RNA
Rfam family: Archaeal small subunit ribosomal RNA
Source: RNAcentral